Molecule: ribosomal RNA, 738 nt
Filed under: uncultured bacterium
Lineage: Bacteria
Description: bacterial SSU rRNA
Rfam family: Bacterial small subunit ribosomal RNA
Source: RNAcentral
AGAGUUUGAUCCUGGAAAGGAUGAACGCUAGCUACAGGCUUAACACAUGCAAGUCGAGGGGCAGCAUGAAUCAAGCUUGCUUGAUUUGAUGGCGACCGGCGCACGGGUGCGUAACACGUAUCCAAUCUACCCAUGGCUCAGGGAUAGCCUUUCGAAAGAAAGAUUAAUACCUGAUGGUUUCAUGAUUCCGCAUGGACUUAUGAAUAAAGAUUUAUCGGCGAUGGAUGAGGAUGCGUCCGAUUAGCUUGUUGGCGGGGUAACGGCCCACCAAGGCGACGAUCGGUAGGGGCUCUGAGAGGAGGAUCCCCCACAUUGGAACUGAGACACGGUCCAAACUCCUACGGGAGGCAGCAGUGAGGAAUAUUGGUCAAUGGGCGAGAGCCUGAACCAGCCAAGUAGCGUGAGGGAUGACUGCCCUAUGGGUUGUAAACCUCUUUUGUUUGGGAAUAAAGUGAGCCACGUGUGGCUUUUUGUAUGUACCUUACGAAUAAGCAUCGGCUAAUUCCGUGCCAGCAGCCGCGGUAAUACGGAAGAUGCGAGCGUUAUCCGGAUUUAUUGGGUUUAAAGGGAGCGUACGCGGGUCUUUAAGCCAGCGGUCAAAUGUCAGGGCCCAACCUUGGCAUGCCGUUGGAACUGGGGACCUUGGAAUACACACAAGGAAGGUGGAAUUCGUCGUGUAGCGGUGAAAUGCUUAGAUAUGACGAAGAACUCCGAUUGCGAACGCAGCCAUUCUGGGGG